Molecule: non-coding RNA, 135 nt
Organism: Podarcis lilfordi (Lilford's wall lizard)
Lineage: Eukaryota; Metazoa; Chordata; Lepidosauria; Squamata; Lacertidae
Source: the annotation of a GenBank genome assembly
GGGUAGCCAAAGUAGUGCCCUUCAGAUGCUGCUGGACUACAGCUCCCAUUAUCCCUGGCACCAUUGGCCAAGACAGCUGGGGAUGAUGGGAGCUGGAGUUCAACAACAUCUGGAGGGACACCACAUUGGCUACCC